RNAcentral lists this long non-coding RNA (1056 nucleotides) under Carica papaya (papaya). Its description in RNAcentral is "long non-coding RNA (CPAP_LNC006575)". The record is from RNAcentral. Lineage: Eukaryota; Viridiplantae; Streptophyta; Magnoliopsida; Brassicales; Caricaceae.
UCACAAUCUGCAAUCGAGCAACGAAAACUAUACCAAUUAUCUGUCAACAAAUUAUACAACUCAAAACCUUCUCAUCAAGUUAUUAUCAGCAUCAAUUUCUGUUCCCUAUUUUCUUACCAUCCAAGCAGGCAAUCAACAAACUAAAGACUAGACUCCUUCCGAACUAGAUCUAUUUCAUAGACUGUGGUAUAAACACCAGUCCUAUGAUCUAACAUGGCCAGACACGGAUAAAGCAAAUCCAAUUGAAUUAAACUAUUUCAGUGCGUAAAUCAACCUCAGAUCCAAUAAUCACAAGAAAAAAACAACAAAAAACCUAUAUCCAAAAGUAGAACGCAAUCAACCUAUAGAUUACAACAAAAAAAUUGAAAAAAAGAAAAUAACCUAAAAGGAAGAAGAAUACUAGCCAAACCUUGUCAAAAAUGGCAUAAAAGGAGCCGCAUCAAGCACUCCCUGACUUCUUCGAUAAUAGAAAGAGAGAAAUGUAAAUAUACAGGACUUGCAAGACUCUUUGGAUCUAGAAAAAGUGAAAACGAGAGAGAAGCAAAAUAAUAAAGAGGGGAAACAGAGAGAAAGGGAGAGAAAACUAACUGAUCACAAGAGAAGAGAGGGGAGGUGAACAGAGGGAGUGGAGAAUAGGUAAUCGUGUCAGUCACGAAUGAGAUCGCGACACGUGUCUUGAGGGUAAAUCUAGAAUAUCUGACUUUUCUUUUGGUUCGCAAUGUCAUCGCUGGAGUCAAGCCACGUGGCAGCCCUACUUGCAUUGGAUCAUGUUGAUCAAAGUGGGUCCCGAUGCCAUUAAGAUAAUGACAACCGCCGGAUUAGAUCUUUCCACGUAUUAUGAUCCGAAUGGUUUGCAGGACUCUUGUUGAACGGCCCAGAUUCUAGAUCUAAAAAACGGGUUGGACGUUUCGCAUCAACUACUCCGAGGCUAAAAUUGUAAAAUCAUUCAGCCGGGUCCCGGGUCCCGGGUCCUUGCGCAACCAAACUUGGGUUGGACUACCCGAAAGCCCAUUUCUGUACCCGACGAUAAAUUUGGGUUUGAACCCGAAUUAAAAC